GAGUUUGAUCAUGGCUCAGGAUGAACGCCGGCGGUGUGCCUAAUACAUGCAAGUCGUACGCACUGGCCCAACUGAUUGAUGGUGCUUGCACCUGAUUGACGAUGGAUCACCAGUGAGUGGCGGACGGGUGAGUAACACGUAGGUAACCUGCCCCGGAGCGGGGGAUAACAUUUGGAAACAGAUGCUAAUACCGCAUAACAACAAAGGCCACAUGGCUUUUGUUUGAAAGAUGGCUUUGGCCAUCACUCUGGGAUGGACCUGCGGUGCAUUAGCUAGUUGGUAAGGUAACGGCUUACCAAGGCGAUGAUGCAUAGCCGAGUUGAGAGACUGAUCGGCCACAAUGGAACUGAGACACGGUCCAUACUCCUACGGGAGGCAGCAGUAGGGAAUCUUCCACAAUGGGCGCAAGCCUGAUGGAGCAACACCGCGUGAGUGAAGAAGGGUUUCGGCUCGUAAAGCUCUGUUGUUGGAGAAGAACGUGCGUGAGAG
RNAcentral lists this ribosomal RNA (489 nucleotides) under uncultured microorganism. RNAcentral describes it as "bacterial SSU rRNA". It matches the Rfam family "Bacterial small subunit ribosomal RNA", at positions 9 to 461 of the family's 1533-position model. The record is from RNAcentral.